Long non-coding RNA from Marmota monax (woodchuck), 2692 nucleotides. RefSeq lists it as uncharacterized. The record is from RefSeq and is a predicted model, not a curated record. The transcript is spliced from 4 exons. Lineage: Eukaryota; Metazoa; Chordata; Mammalia; Rodentia; Sciuridae.
GGCAUCUGUGGGGCAGGUCUCUUGAUCUGCAGCUGGCAGAUGGCAUUAGGGGUGCAGUAACCCCCAACUUGUGCAUCUUCCUGGGGAGAGGCUCCGAGGCUUUGAGCAGAUUCUCAAAGGGGUUACUGACCCUCCAGAGGGCAAAGAAGGACGGCCCUGGAGGAGGGCUGAGGACUCUGGGGUUCGGGAGGCGCUGGGGUAGGACAGGACUGCCAGCGGCCCCCUUCUUCAUGGUCCCUAUACAGACCUGUCCACCUUGGAGACCAGGUUUCCCUGGCUGCUCUGCUUUUGGUUGACUGAGGGGAAGAAUGGAUUUUAGGAUUCUCUGUCUAGAAGUUGGGGGGUACAGAAUGCUGCCCUCGACCCCUCAACUUGCUGGUAUUCAGCCUUGGGAACACCUCUUCCUGGUCUGGGCCUCAGUUUCCCUGUUCCUGUAAGGGGGGAAGACUCUCACUGCUUCUAACCAGUGCACAGCGACUGUGGCAGGGACCGCGGAGGACAGGGGCUGUGUGGGGCAGGUCCACUCACCGUCCACGGGGGUGCAGGGCUCGUAGACCACCCUGUAGCCCUCCAGGACACCGUUGGGGAGCUGCGGGGCUUCCCAGGACACGUUCACUGAGGUCGUGGUCAGCUCGCUGAACUUGACUGAGCUGGGCGCGCUGGGGGCUGGGGAGACAGCACAGGGCUUUGUUUUCUCCUUCUGCGGACGGACGUUCAAAGUGUUGGGUUUGGCUCCAAGAAACUAGCGGGAGUGCUUGGGCCCGGGCCCGGGAAGAACAAGAAUGCCCGGCUUAGAGCAAGGCUGCAGGAGGGGUCACCAGAGGCCACUGGACCCCUUCCCCGCCUCCCUCCGUGUUAGCACUCGAAUUUCCCAGAUUGAAGACCCUGGAACAGGAAGAAAAGGGAGCUGCAUUUCCCCCUCAGGUUGGAGAAUUUGGACUUGUCCCUGAGGAGCGGCUGUGAGCCUGGCUAGCAGCCCGGGGCCAGCCAUCGCACGUCCAGGGUCACCGUGGGGCAAGGCGACUUCCUGGCUUUGAGGGGUGCAGCUUUCGACUUUCCUGAUCCUGGAGGAAUCUGCCAGCUGUCAGGCAGGAAGCUGAGCCAAGAGGUGAGCGCCAGCAGAGCCCCCCACCCCGGCUGAAGGGGUGGCUGGGAGAGGGUGAGCCCCAGCCACUGGCCCCCAGACCUGCUGCAGGUUACCGAGGACUCCAGGGAGCACGGGCCACACUGGUGUGCAAAGCCUGCUACAGAGGAAGGCCGGCUAAGAAGGCAGUGGCCUGGGCACGCUGUUUACUAGCAGUGACCUGGCCAGGUGACUUCUCUGAGCUGCAGUUUUGUCAUGUAUACAGCUCCCGGUUGUCACGGGAGGUGAAGGUCAUGAGAACAGCAGGGGCGGAUACUCCUGGUUACCCAGUCUGGCAGAUUCUUCGACUAGUUUAGAACUUUGAACCAAGGGCACCUCUUGGAGGAUUCGAGAUCAUUUGGCGCCCCCUGCUGGCCGGAGGGGUUUCCGCACGCUUUCCAUGUCCGGCUUUUCCAGGUCUCAGUUUACCUGGAGGAAGCCCAUGAAGCAACGGGGACGCAGGGCUCCUGUGUUGAGGGGAAAGGUCUGCCCGUAGGUGGGAUUUGGAAAUGCACACCAGAAGAAUCGACAGACUCCCGUAGAUAGAGGGCCUUGGCACUCAGCGUUGGGAGGAGAGUUGGAACAGCAAAGGAGAGUGAGCGGGAGCCUCUGGCCAGAGAAGCCAGAGAAGCCAGCCGCCCUGGAGGAGGGAGGGACGGCCCAUCCAGCAGCUGCCAAGUCAGGACGAGACCCGAGAUCUGAGCACGGUGACCAGGGGUGAACGCUUCCUUGGUGAUGGAUUGAGAACCUACUCAGAGGAGGUUCAAGAGAGAAUGUGCCAGGCACCGUGGUGCACGCCUGUGAUCCCAGCAGCUCGGGAGGCUGGGGCAGGAGGAUUGCAAGUUCAAAGCCAGCCUCAGCAACUUAGUGAGGCCCUCUCUCAAAAUAAAAAGGGCUGGGGAUGUGGCUUAGUGAUUAAGUGUCCCUGAGUUCAAUCCACAGUUAGAGAGAGAGAGAGAGAGAGAGAGAGAGAGAGAGAGAGAGAGAGAGAACACAAGAGGAGAAGAGUUGGAUGCAGAAGAAAUUCCAGGAGAUUAUUUAAGUUUUUUUUCCUUUUUUUAGAAAAAUUGUUUUUUCAGUUGUAGUUGGACACAAGACCUUUAUUUUAUUUUUAUGUGGUGCUGAGGAUUGAACCCAGCACCCUGCACUGCUAGGCGAGUGCUGAACUGCUGAGCCACAACCCCAGCCCCUCCAGGAGAUUCUUUUUGAAGAAUAUGCUGCCAAGGGACCAGCCAAAGAAUGGGGAUGACUGGAAGAAAAUGUGAGGUCAGAAAAAGGCAUCAGGAGGGAAAUAAGCUGGGGACAGUGACGCGCACCUGUGAUCCCAGCUACUCAGGAGGCUGAGGCAGGAGGAUCACAACUUUGAGGCCAGCCUCAGCAACUUAGUGAGAUCCUGUCUCAACAUAAAGAGGAAAGAGGACUGGGAGUGUAGCUCAGUGGUAGAGCACCUGUCUAGCACACCUGAGACCCUGGGUUCAACUGCUGGUCUCACACACACACACACACACACACACACACACAUCUCAGAAUGUGUUUGUGCCCUGUCAACAACAGCUUGGAGAAAGGACA